AUGUGAGGGCGAUCUGGCUGUGACAUCUGUUACCCCAUUGAUCGCCAGGGUUGAUUCGGCUGAUCUGGCUGGCUAGGCGGGUGUCCCCUUCCUCCCUCACCGCU
Molecule: small nuclear RNA, 104 nt
Filed under: Sus scrofa (pig)
Lineage: Eukaryota; Metazoa; Chordata; Mammalia; Artiodactyla; Suidae
Description: 7SK RNA
Rfam family: 7SK RNA
About the family: 7SK was discovered as an abundant small nuclear RNA in the mid-70s but a possible function has only recently been suggested. Two independent studies have found that 7SK RNA binds the CDK9/cyclin T complex (known as elongation factor P-TEFb). P-TEFb activates transcription by phosphorylating the C-terminal domain of RNA polymerase II.
Source: Rfam by way of RNAcentral